RNAcentral lists this long non-coding RNA (2583 nucleotides) under Pogona vitticeps (central bearded dragon). RNAcentral's name for it is "lncRNA (ENSPVIG00000014479.1)". The record is from RNAcentral. Lineage: Eukaryota; Metazoa; Chordata; Lepidosauria; Squamata; Agamidae.
AUGCAAGACACUAUUUAUUUAGUUCAUUCUAAAAUACAUGUUAAGUAUUCCCUAUAUGUUAUAGUUGAAGACUAUAACAUUGAACAGCAGUCCCAUCUUACAUCCAGUGUCUGUGCCUCAGCAUUUUACCUUAUUCUAUUGUUUUGCCUAAGUGCCAAUCUUUAUAUUUGUCUCUGUUGGAUUUCAUUUUGCAAGCUCCUCCACCUUUGCAAAGCACUCCCAAAAAAGUGUCUUCAUGACUGUACUAGGGCACAAAAGAGUAAAAUUCCCCUUCUGUUUCUAUUGUGAUUCAAUUACUUGUCACAGAUACACCACAGAUGAUGGAAUCUGAAUGUUUUCAAGCCUGCACCUUAGACACAAGGAAAUAUGUAAUAUGGCCCUCAGCCACUAUCAUCUACCGGCUUUCAUUAAUCAUUUGAAACAUAAAAUCUUGCUGAAAUCAAAUUGGAGGGGAGGUGGGAAAUUCUAUCUGUUUAGUGUUUGCAACCUUGCAUGCUGCCUUUAAUAGCUUUGGCUGUAAGGGACCUUUCUGGACUGGGUUGACUGUCAAUCUAUCCAGCACUAACCAAUCGUUCCUUCCCGGCCUCUGAAUUCAAAUAGUGUCCUGUCUCUCUACUCUAGUUGUCUUUCUCUCUCUUGAGUCUGUUAAGGUCUGUUGCUGAAAGCAGAAAUGUUUGCAGUUUGCUCUUUGAUCUGUUCAAACUGUAAGAAAAGAACAGCCUCUGAAUUCAAAUAGAGUCCUGUCUCUCUACUCUAGUUGUCUUUCUCUCUCUUGAGUCUGUUAAGGUCUGUUGCUGAAAGCAGAAAUGUUUGCAGUUUGCUAAUUGAUCUGUUCAAACUGUAAGAAAAGAACGUGUUCUUACUAAUAUCUUAGAGUGGGUUACUGAGACUCUUAGGUCCAGUUGAAAAAGGAGUGAAUUAAUCUGUACAAAUUGAAGCAAUUCGCUCUGUGAAUCCCCACACAUCAACUGCGCAGCUAGAUGAAUUUAACAAAAAAUUCAAAACUGUAACAUUUAGUUUAUCUUAGGAGUUGUAGGAGAAAGAAUCUCAAGAGCAGAAAGGUAAAGUUUAAGACUGCACAUAGUGGCCAUCCUGGCCAUGAGAUUCUGAGAGCUAGAGUUCAAACCAAACAGAUAUUCCCUGUCUCUGCUUGAGAGACAAAAUAUUUGGCUUAACCAUCUCUAAACUGGAUGGAACUGUGCAAGCUCCCCAUAAGCACGAAAGAGAGAUAACCCCAACCCCCAGGAGCACAAUCAGCAAGUGCCAAAGAAGUUUGCCUGCCAGGUUUCUCUGCUCCCUUCUUUCUUCACUUGUGAAGACCCUUUGCUAUGCACCAGUGCAAUGUCACAUUAUUUCCUCAUCUGUCAUCCUCCAGUGCUUACCGAUAGCCAGUGGUCAAGAUAUUUGUGCAUAAAUAAUCAGAAUGCUCUGAGUUUUCUUUAGAUUUUUAAAAAAACUGUUGCUAUGGACCAGGAGUGUCAGAGUCCUAAGAAAAAUGCAAACUGACAUAGGGGCCUCAUAUGUACAAUCAUUCUUGACAGGAAUUAUAAACCAGGGAGGUGUGCCACUAGUAUAAUUUAGCUCUAUGGAGAGUAUAUAAAUAGUCAUCUAUGACUGGAUUUAGCAAAGGUGUUACAUAACUAAAGAGAUCCAUAGGAAGUAUAUCUAUUUGAUUGGAUUUCUUUAAUUUAUAUACUGCCCCAUUAAUGCAAAAGCACUAUUCUGGUUAGUUUGACAACAAGGCAAUAUAUUAUUUGCUCAAUAGACAGAAGGUUAAAAACACCAACAACAUACAACCAAGCAGUUUCCCAAUAAGCAUCAGGACUGGAGGUAAACAGAUUGUCAACCGGGGUCAGUAUAAAGGCCUUCCUGAAAAGGAAUGUUUUGAUUUGUUUUCUAAACAAUAUCAGGAAUAGAAACAGGCAUAACUCCUCCAGAAGUUGAUUCUAUAAGGUUGGAAUUCCCUGGGAAUGAAAUGAGCAGGUCUCAGCAAGUAAGGGGAUGUAGGAACCAGACAAUGAUAGUAAGACAGGCCUGCUGUUCAAAAUGAUACUCCUCUUGUUCUCACUUAUAACAUAGCUUUUCUGUGUAUAAAAUGACACUUUUUUCCUAAAAUAAUUAGGGUAAAAUUGAGGGUUGUUUUGUACACGGAAGGAGGCAGGGACAAAGGAGCACUUACGUGCUCUCGGGCACCUUCUCUUGCUGCCGCCGCUGCCACCACCCAUUGCCUCCUCCAGUGCGACUGCUGGGGCUCACCUCCAGCUCACGUUGCUGUCUUGUCCCUUCCGAUGGCAGAGGCAGCAGGAGGCGGAGGCAAAGGAGCACUCACAUGCGCUUGGGUGCCUCUUGCUGCUGCCCAUUGACUGCUGCCAUCGCAUCGCUUCCUCCAACACUCCCAUCAGACUGGUCUGAUGCUUCAAGUGAAACUAAAAUGACCACCUGAGGCAGGAGAUAUAUGCUCAGGAAUCCAUACUGAAGGAUUGUUAGCAGGUUGGUAGUAUAUUUACAUGUUUUUUCAUUCAUGCUUUGUUUUUUUUUUCUUCAGAUAAUAAAUACACCGCCCAUUUACCCUAAUUAUUCUCC